Molecule: long non-coding RNA, 339 nt
Organism: Schistocerca americana (American grasshopper)
Lineage: Eukaryota; Metazoa; Arthropoda; Insecta; Orthoptera; Acrididae
Exons: 2
Source: RefSeq, a predicted model, not a curated record
UUGUCAUUGCUGGCGAGCUGUGAGGCGCAGUGCCCAUCCAUCUGCACCCGAGAAUUCCGCCCACUUACGGCUCGCUGCAAGGGAGGCGUCACCAAGAAAUUCAACAACCCCUGUCUCAUGGAAGUGCACAACUGUCAGCAGAAAGACGGUUGCGUGGUGAUGUGAUCCUGUCAGCACAGCUGAUUGUGAAUCCCUUGGAAAGGAGACUUCACUCUGCAUGCUGUUAUAAUUUAUUUUGCGUUGACAUGUUUGUGUCUGAGAUAAAAUUAGGCAAAGAAUUAGAUAUUUCUGUCUCUUAAUGUAUUACUGAUUUAUCCAAAAUAUAUGUUUCCAAAACUA